This 253-nucleotide ribosomal RNA is filed under the name uncultured bacterium. RNAcentral's name for it is "partial 16S ribosomal RNA". It matches the Rfam family "Bacterial small subunit ribosomal RNA", at positions 524 to 776 of the family's 1533-position model. The record is from RNAcentral.
UACGGGGGGGGUAAGCGUUGUUCGGAAUUACUGGGCGUAAAGGGCUCGUAGGCGGCCAACUAAGUCAUACGUGAAAUCCUGGAGCUCAACUCCAGAACUGCCUUUGAUACUGGGGAGCUCGAGUCCGGGAGAGGUGAGUGGAACUGCGAGUGUAGAGGUGAAAUUCGUAGAUAUUCGCAAGAACACCAGUGGCGAAGGCGGCUCACUGGCCCGGUACUGACGCUGAGGUGCGAAAGCGUGGGGAGCAAACAGG